RNAcentral lists this ribosomal RNA (465 nucleotides) under uncultured bacterium. Its description in RNAcentral is "partial 16S ribosomal RNA". It matches the Rfam family "Bacterial small subunit ribosomal RNA", at positions 28 to 507 of the family's 1533-position model. The record is from RNAcentral.
GACGAACGCUGGCGGCGUGCUUAACACAUGCAAGUCGAACGGAAAGGCCCCUUUGGGGGUACUCGAGUGGCGAACGGGUGCGUAACACGUGAGUAACCUGCCCUUGACUUCGGGAUAACUUCAGGAAACUGGGGCUAAUACCGGAUAGGAAUCCUUGCUGCAUGGUGGGGGUUGGAAAGCUUCGGCGGUUUUGGAUGGACUCGCGGCUUAUCAGCUUGUUGGUGGGGUAGUGGCUUACCAAGGCUUUGACGGGUAGCCGGCCUGAGGGUGCGACCGGCCACAUUGGGACUGAGAUACGGCCCAGACUCCUACGGGAGGCAGCAGUGGGGAAUAUUGAACAAUGGGCGGAAGCCUGAUGCAGCAACGCCGCGUGCGGGAUGACGGCCUUCGGGUUGUAAAACGCUUUCAGCAGGGGCGAAGCUUGUGGUGACGGUACCUGAAGAAGAAGCACCGGCUAACUACGUG